GAUGAACGCUGGCGGCGUGCCUAAUACAUGCAAGUCGAGCGAACGGACGAGAAGCUUGCUUCUCUGAUGUUAGCGGCGGACGGGUGAGUAACACGUGGAUAACCUACCUAUAAGACUGGGAUAACUUCGGGAAACCGGAGCUAAUACCGGAUAAUAUUUUGAACCGCAUGGUUCAAAAGUGAAAGACGGUCUUGCUGUCACUUAUAGAUGGAUCCGCGCUGCAUUAGCUAGUUGGUAAGGUAACGGCUUACCAAGGCAACGAUGCAUAGCCGACCUGAGAGGGUGAUCGGCCACACUGGAACUGAGACACGGUCCAGACUCCUACGGGAGGCAGCAGUAGGGAAUCUUCCGCAAUGGGCGAAAGCCUGACGGAGCAACGCCGCGUGAGUGAUGAAGGUCUUCGGAUCGUANAACUCUGUUAUUAGGGAAGAACAUAUGUGUAAGUAACUGUGCACAUCUUGACGGUACCUAAUCAGAAAGCCACGGCUAACUACGUGCCAGCAGCCGCGGUAAUACGUAGGUGGGCAGCGUUAUCCGGAAUUAUUGGGCGUNAAGCGCGCGUAGGCGGUUUUUUAGUCUGAUGUGAAAGCCCACGGCUCAACCGUGGAGGGUCAUUGGAAACUGGAAAACUUGAGUGCAGAAGAGGAAAGUGGAAUUCCAUGUGUAGCGGUGAAAUGCGCAGAGAUAUGGAGGAACACCAGUGGCGAAGGCGACUUUCUGGUCUGUAACUGACGCUGAUGUGCGAAAGCGUGGGGAUCAAACAGGAUUAGAUACCCUGGUAGUCCACGCCGUAAACGAUGAGUGCUAAGUGUUAGGGGGUUUCCGCCCCUUAGUGCUGCAGCUAACGCAUUAAGCACUCCGCCUGGGGAGUACGACCGCAAGGUUGAAACUCAAAGGAAUUGACGGGGACCCGCACAAGCGGUGGAGCAUGUGGUUUAAUUCGAAGCAACGCGAAGAACCUUACCAAAUCUUGACAUCCUUUGACAACUCUAGAGAUAGAGCUUUCCCCUUCGGGGGACAAAGUGACAGGUGGUGCAUGGUUGUCGUCAGCUCGUGUCGUGAGAUGUUGGGUUAAGUCCCGCAACGAGCGCAACCCUUAAGCUUAGUUGCCAUCAUUAAGUUGGGCACUCUAAGUUGACUGCCGGUGACAAACCGGAGGAAGGUGGGGAUGACGUCAAAUCAUCAUGCCCCUUAUGAUUUGGGCUACACACGUGCUACAAUGGACAAUACAAAGGGCAGCGAAACCGCGAGGUCAAGCAAAUCCCAUAAAGUUGUUCUCAGUUCGGAUUGUAGUCUGCAACUCGACUACAUGAAGCUGGAAUCGCUAGUAAUCGUAGAUCAGCAUGCUACGGUGAAUACAUUCCCGGGUCU
Molecule: ribosomal RNA, 1371 nt
Filed under: uncultured bacterium
Lineage: Bacteria
Description: bacterial SSU rRNA
Rfam family: Bacterial small subunit ribosomal RNA
Source: RNAcentral